Molecule: ribosomal RNA, 480 nt
Filed under: uncultured bacterium
Lineage: Bacteria
Description: bacterial SSU rRNA
Rfam family: Bacterial small subunit ribosomal RNA
Source: RNAcentral
ACCGUACUCCUACGGGAGGCAGCAGUGGGGAGUAUUGGACAAUGGAGGGAACCCUGAUCCAGCCAUGCCGCGUGUGUGAAGAAGGCCUUUUGGUUGUAAAGCACUUUAAGCGAGGAGGAGGCUACUCUAGUUAAUACCCAGGGAUAGUGGACGCUACUCGCAGAAUAAGCACCGGCUAACUCUGCGCCAGCAGCCGCGGUAAUACAGAGGGUGCGAGCGUUAAUCGGAUUUACUGGGCGUAAAGCGUGCGUAGGCGGCUUUUUAAGUCGGAUGUGAAAUCUCUGAGCUUAACUUAGGAAUUGCAUUCGAUACUGGGAAGCUAGAGUAUGGGAGAGGAUGGUAGAAUUCCAGGUGUAGCGGUGAAAUGCGUAGAGAUCUGGAGGAAUACCGAUGGCGAAGGCAGCCAUCUGGUCUAAUACUGACGCUGAGGUACGAAAGCAUGGGGAGCAAACAGGAUUAGAAACCCUUGUAGUCCUUGAC